Molecule: ribosomal RNA, 422 nt
Filed under: Fusobacteriota bacterium
Lineage: Bacteria; Fusobacteriati; Fusobacteriota
Description: Fusobacteria bacterium partial 16S ribosomal RNA
Rfam family: Bacterial small subunit ribosomal RNA
Source: RNAcentral
UGGGGGAUUUUGCACAAUGGGCGCAAGCCUGAUGCAGCGACGCCGCGUGAGGGAUGAAGGCCUUCGGGUUGUAAACCUCUUUCGCUGGGUUGAAAGGCCAUGCUUUGGGUGUGGUUGAUUUGAACUGGUAAAGAAGUACCGGCUAACUACGUGCCAGCAGCCGCGGUAAUACGUAGGGUACUAGCGUUGUCCGGAUUUAUUGGGCGUAAAGGGCUUGUAGGUGGUUUGUCGCGUCUGUCGUGAAAUCCUGUGGCUUAACCAUGGGCUUGCGGUGGGUACGGGCAGGCUUGAGUGCGGUAGGGGAGACUGGAAUUCCUGGUGUAGCGGUGGAAUGCGCAGAUAUCAGGAGGAACUCCGGUGGCGAAGGCGGGUCUCUGGGCCGUUACUGACACUGAGGAGCGAAAGCGUGGGGAGCGAACAGG